AACGAACGCUGGCGGCAUGCCUAACACAUGCAAGUCGAACGAGACCUUCGGGUCUAGUGGCGCACGGGUGCGUAACGCGUGGGAACCUUCCCUUAGGUUCGGAAUAACUCCCCGAAAGGGGUGCUAAUACCGGAUAAUGUCUUCGGACCAAAGAUUUAUCGCCUUUGGAUGGGCCCGCGUUGGAUUAGCUAGUUGGUAGGGUAAAAGCCUACCAAGGCGACGAUCCAUAGCUGGUCUGAGAGGAUGAUCAGCCACACUGGGACUGAGACACGGCCCAGACUCCUACGGGAGGCAGCAGUGGGGAAUAUUGGACAAUGGGCGAAAGCCUGAUCCAGCAAUGCCGCGUGAGUGAUGAAGGCAUUAGGGUUGUAAAGCUCUUUUACCCGGGAUGAUAAUGACAGUACCGGGAGAAUAAGCUCCGGCUAACUCCGUG
RNAcentral lists this ribosomal RNA (433 nucleotides) under uncultured bacterium. Its description in RNAcentral is "partial 16S ribosomal RNA". It matches the Rfam family "Bacterial small subunit ribosomal RNA", at positions 29 to 507 of the family's 1533-position model. The record is from RNAcentral.